Molecule: ribosomal RNA, 1975 nt
Filed under: Wolbachia endosymbiont of Drosophila chauvacae
Lineage: Bacteria; Pseudomonadati; Pseudomonadota; Alphaproteobacteria; Rickettsiales; Anaplasmataceae
Description: partial 23S ribosomal RNA
Rfam family: Bacterial large subunit ribosomal RNA
Source: RNAcentral
GGUUAAGUUAUGAAGGGCGCAUGGUGGAUGCCUUGGUACUAGGAGCCGAUGAAGGACGGGACUAACACCGAUAUGCUUCGGGGAGCUGUACGUAAGCUUUGAUCCGGAGAUUUCCGAAUGGGGAAACCCAAUCAUCUUUACCGAUGAUUACAACUUGAUGAAUACAUAGUCAAGUUGAGGCAGACGUGGGGAACUGAAACAUCUAAGUACCCACAGGAAGAGAAAGAAAAAUCGAUUCCCUAAGUAGCGGCGAGCGAACGGGGAACAGCCCAAACCAGGAAGCUUGCUUUCUGGGGUUGUAGGACUGAACAUUUGAGUUGCCAAAGUUGAUGAUAACCGAAGAGUCUGGGAAGGCUCGGCAUAGAGGGUGAUACCCCCGUAGGUGAAAUCGUCAACCCUCAGUUCAGGAUCCUGAGUACGGCCACACACGUGAAACGUGGUCGGAAUCCGGGAGGACCAUCUCCCAAGGCUAAAUACUCCCUAGUGACCGAUAGUGAACCAGUACCGUGAGGGAAAGGUGAAAAGCACCGCGGAAGCGGAGUGAAAUAGUUCCUGAAACCAUGUGCCUACAAUUAGUUAGAGCCCGUUAAUGGGUGAUAGCGUGCCUUUUGUAGAAUGAACCGGCGAGUUACGUUAAUUUGCAAGGUUAAGGUGGAAAGACCGGAGCCGUAGCGAAAGCGAGUCUGAAACGGGCGUUUCAGUAAAUUGAUGUAGACCCGAAACCAGGUGACCUACCCAUGUCCAGGUUGAAGGUGCGGUAAAACGCACUGGAGGACCGAACCCGUGUAUGUUGAAAAAUGCUGGGAUGAGGUGUGGGUAGCGGUGAAAUUCCAAACGAACUUGGAGAUAGCUGGUUCUCUCCGAAAUAGCUUUAGGGUUAGCCUCGGAGUUAAGAAUCGUGGAGGUAGAGCCACUGUUUGGACUAGGGGCCCGUCAUGGGUUACUGAAUUCAGAUAAACUCCGAAUGCCACAGAUUUAUAUCCGGGAGUCAGACGAUGAGUGAUAAGAUCCACCGUCGAAAGGGGAACAGCCCAGACCACCAAUUAAGGUCCCUAAAUACAUGCUGAGUGGAAAAGGAUGUGGAGUUGCAUAGACAGCUAGGAUGUUGGCUCAGAAGCAGCCACCAUUUAAAGAGUGCGUAAUAGCUCACUAGCCGAGUGAUUCUGCGCCGAAAAUUUACCGGGGCUAAGCAUGUUACCGAAAUUGUGGAUUCGACCGUAAGGUCGAGUGAUAGGAGAGCGUUCUAAGGGCAACGAAGCAAGAUCGCAAGGACUUGUGGAGCGCUUAGAAGUGAGAAUGCCGGUAUGAGUAGCGAAAGAUCAGUGAGAAUCUGAUCCACCGAAUGACUAAGGUUUCCUGGGGAAGGCUCGUCCUCCCAGGGUUAGUCGGGACCUAAGCCGAGGCCGCAAGGCGUAGGCGAUGGAUAACAGGUUGAUAUUCCUGUACUAGUUAAUCAUGUUUGAACGAUGGAGGGACGCAGGAGGCUAUGGUGUGCACACGAUUGGAAAUGUGUGUUCAAGCGUCAAGUCUGGUGAUGAGUCAAAUGCUUAUCGCUAAGGACAAGGCGUGACGAGGACCGAAUUUUAGUAGGGAAGCGCCAGAUGUCACACUGCCGAGAAAAGCUUCUAGUUAGUGAUUAAUUACCCGUACCGCAAACCGACACAGGUAGUCGAGGAGAGUAUCCUAAGGUGAGCGAGUGAACUCUCGUUAAGGAACUCGGCAAAAUGACCCCGUAACUUCGGGAGAAGGGGUGCUGCACGCAAGUGUAGCCGCAGUGAAAAGGCCCAGGCGACUGUUUAUCAAAAACACAGGUUUCUGCAAAAUCGAAAGAUGACGUAUAGGGGCUGACGCCUGCCCGGUGCUGGAAGGUUAAGUGGAUGAGUUAGCUUCGGCGAAGCCCAGAAAUGAAGCCCCAGUAAACGGCGGCCGUAACUAUAACGGUCCUAAGGUAGCGAAAUUCCUUGUCGGGUAAGUU